CCAGCAGCCGCGGUAAUUCCAGCUCCGCAAGUGUAUUCCUAUACUGUUGCGUUUAAAUAGCUCGUAGUUGCAUCUGCGUGUUUAGCGCGCGGUGCCAUUCACUUUGGCUACUGUGCCGCGACACUUCGGGCUGGUCGACGAUGCUUUUGUAAGCAUAGUUGCUAGCAAGUUUACUUUGAACAAAUCAGAGUGCUCAGAACGGGCGUUUCGCUCGGAUGUUCUUGCAUGGAAUAAUGGAAUAGGACCGCGCGUUCUAUUUUGUUGGUUUUCGGGACGCGGGUAAUGAUUAAGAGGGACAGACGGGGGCAUUUGUACUGCGACGUGAGAGGUGAAAUUCUUGGAUCGUCGCAAGACAGACUACUG
This 363-nucleotide ribosomal RNA is filed under the name uncultured eukaryote. Its description in RNAcentral is "SSU rRNA". It matches the Rfam family "Eukaryotic small subunit ribosomal RNA", at positions 567 to 945 of the family's 1831-position model. The record is from RNAcentral.